GACGAAGGUGGCAAGCGUUGUUCGGUAUCACUGGGCUUAAAGCGUGUGUAGGCGGAAAAGUAAGCGUUCUGUGAAAGCCCCCGGCUUAACCGGGGAAUUGCGCAACGAACUGCUUUUCUUGAGGCAAGUAGGGGUGCAUGGAACUCUUGGUGGAGCGGUGGAAUGCGUAGAUAUCAAGAGGAACGCCAGUGGAGAAAUCGGUGCACUGGGCUUGUCCUGACGCUGAGACACGAAAGCGUGGGGAGCGAACGGGAUUAGAUACCCCCGUA
RNAcentral lists this ribosomal RNA (269 nucleotides) under uncultured prokaryote. Its description in RNAcentral is "partial 16S ribosomal RNA". It matches the Rfam family "Bacterial small subunit ribosomal RNA", at positions 524 to 792 of the family's 1533-position model. The record is from RNAcentral.